This is a transfer RNA of Camelus ferus (Wild Bactrian camel), 73 nucleotides long. It matches the Rfam family "tRNA". From Rfam's summary of the family: Transfer RNA (tRNA) molecules are approximately 80 nucleotides in length. Their secondary structure includes four short double-helical elements and three loops (D, anti-codon, and T loops). Further hydrogen bonds mediate the characteristic L-shaped molecular structure. tRNAs have two regions of fundamental functional importance: the anti-codon, which is responsible for specific mRNA codon recognition, and the 3' end, to which the tRNAs corresponding amino acid is attached (by aminoacyl-tRNA synthetases). tRNAs cope with the degeneracy of the genetic code in two manners: having more than one tRNA (with a specific anti-codon) for a particular amino acid; and 'wobble' base-pairing, i.e. permitting non-standard base-pairing at the 3rd anti-codon position. NCBI's taxonomy places the organism in Eukaryota, Metazoa, Chordata, Mammalia, Artiodactyla, Camelidae. The record is from Rfam.
GAGGGUGUAGCUUAAGUGGUAGAGCACAUGUUUAGCAUGCACGAGGUCCUGGGUGCAAUCCCCAGUACCUCCU